GUGUUAUCCGGAAUUAUUGGGCGUAAAGCGUCUGCAGGUUGAUAUACAAGUCUUUUGUUAAAUUUUCAGGCUUAACCUGAAGUCAGCAAAAGAAACUGUUUAUCUUGAGUAUGGUAGAGGUAAGGGGAAUUUCCAGUGGAGCGGUGAAAUGCGUAGAUAUUGGAAAGAACACCAACAGCGAAGGCACCUUACUGGGCCAUUACUGACACUCAGAGACGAAAGCUAGGGUAGCAAACGGGAUUAGAUACCCCGGUAGUCCUAGCCGUAAACGAUGGAUACUAGAUGUUGCGUACUUUAUAGUAUGCAGUGUCGUAGCUAACGCGUUAAGUAUCCCGCCUGGGAAGUAUGCGCGCAAGCGUGAAACUCAAAGGAAUUGACGGGGGCCCGCACAAGCGGUGGAGCAUGUGGUUUAAUUCGAUGCAACACGAAGAACCUUACCAGGACUUGACAUGAAGAGAAGUUUCUUGAAAGAGAAAUGUGCUACGGCCUCUUACACAGGUGGUGCAUGGCU
Molecule: ribosomal RNA, 511 nt
Filed under: uncultured bacterium
Lineage: Bacteria
Description: bacterial SSU rRNA
Rfam family: Bacterial small subunit ribosomal RNA
Source: RNAcentral